Long non-coding RNA from Solanum pennellii, 358 nucleotides. RefSeq lists it as uncharacterized. Lineage: Eukaryota; Viridiplantae; Streptophyta; Magnoliopsida; Solanales; Solanaceae. The record is from RefSeq and is a predicted model, not a curated record. The transcript is spliced from 3 exons.
CAGUUCUUGCACUGUGCAUUUGGUCAUUUCCAACAAGUAUAUGAAGGAUGUCCAUUUUUCCACAUUGCUAUUAAGGUCUCCUUUGUUCCUCAGCCUGCAAAGAAUUUAACAGUUCUGCCAAGAUUCGAUUCUGAGUAGGAGCAUAUCUCGUGGAGAAAUUCGAGUCCAAGUUUUAAGUGUCUUGGAGUUGUGGUGAGCUGUUUGGUUGUUUCGUGGCCCACACCUCCCUUUAUCUUUUACAUAUUCUGUCAUUUAGUAUUCAGACAGGGUAUUUCUUAUGUUUGAUUUGUCAUUUUAGUAUCAGACUUGCAUUGUAUUAUAGAACCUCUUGUACUUAUGAUACCAAAUCUUGGGUGGU